GAUCCUGGCUCAGGACGAACGCUGGCGGCGUGCUUAACACAUGCAAGUCGAACGAGAAUCUACGGAUCGAGGAUUCGUCCAAGAGAAGUAGAGGACAGUGGCGGACGGGUGAGUAACGCGUGAGGAACCUGCCUUUCAGAGGGGGGACAACAGUUGGAAACGACUGCUAAUACCGCAUGACACAUUGGGGUCGCAUGGCCUUGAUGUCAAAGAUUUAUCGCUGAAAGAUGGCCUCGCG
This 238-nucleotide ribosomal RNA is filed under the name uncultured bacterium. Its description in RNAcentral is "partial 16S ribosomal RNA". It matches the Rfam family "Bacterial small subunit ribosomal RNA", at positions 15 to 235 of the family's 1533-position model. The record is from RNAcentral.